UUGGAGGGCAAGUCUGGUGCCAGCAGCCGCGGUAAUUCCAGCUCCAAUAGCGUAUAUUAAAGUUGUUGCAGUUAAAAAGCUCGUAGUUGAAUUUCGGGAUCAGCAAGUUGGUCGUGCCUCUGGUACGUACUGGCUUUACUGGUUCCUCCUUCUUGAAGAACUGUAAUGUCAUUAAUUUGAUGUUGCAGGGAAACAGGACUGUUACUUUGAAAAAAUUAGAGUGUUUAAAGCAAGCUAACGCUUGAAUACAUUAGCAUGGAAUAAUGAAAUAGGACGUUUGAUCCUAUUUUGUUGGUUUCUAGGAUUGACGUAAUGAUUAAUAGGGAUAGUUGGGGGCAUUAGUAUUCAAUUGUCAGAGGUGAAAUUCUUGGAUUUAUUGAAGACUAACUACUGCGAAAGCAUUUGCCAAGGAUGUUUUCAUUAAUCAAGAACGAAAGUUAGGGGAUCGAAGACGAUCAGAUACCGUCGUAGUCUUAACCAUAAACUAUGCCGACUAGGGAUCGGAUGAUGUUAAUUUUUUAAUGACUCAUUCGGCGCCUUACGGGAAAC
RNAcentral lists this ribosomal RNA (549 nucleotides) under uncultured Glomeromycotina. RNAcentral describes it as "SSU rRNA". It matches the Rfam family "Eukaryotic small subunit ribosomal RNA", at positions 548 to 1098 of the family's 1831-position model. Lineage: Eukaryota; Fungi; Glomeromycota. The record is from RNAcentral.